RNAcentral lists this transfer RNA (72 nucleotides) under Mucilaginibacter sp. RNAcentral describes it as "tRNA-Gln". It matches the Rfam family "tRNA". Rfam says of the family: Transfer RNA (tRNA) molecules are approximately 80 nucleotides in length. Lineage: Bacteria; Pseudomonadati; Bacteroidota; Sphingobacteriia; Sphingobacteriales; Sphingobacteriaceae. RNAcentral also lists the same sequence under 3 other names. The record is from RNAcentral.
UUUCCUGUGGUGUAACGGUUAGCACCUCUGACUCUGACUCAGAAGAUCGUGGUUCGAAUCCAUGCAGGAAAA